This 884-nucleotide ribosomal RNA is filed under the name Akanthomyces tortricidarum. RNAcentral's name for it is "partial large subunit ribosomal RNA". It matches the Rfam family "Eukaryotic large subunit ribosomal RNA", at positions 46 to 962 of the family's 3401-position model. Lineage: Eukaryota; Fungi; Ascomycota; Sordariomycetes; Hypocreales; Cordycipitaceae. The record is from RNAcentral.
AUAAGCGGAGGAAAAGAAACCAACAGGGAUUGCCCCAGUAACGGCGAGUGAAGCGGCAACAGCUCAAAUUUGAAAUCUGGCCCCCGGGUCCGAGUUGUAAUUUGCAGAGGACGCUUUUGGCGAGGUGCCUUCCGAGUUCCCUGGAACGGGACGCCACAGAGGGUGAGAGCCCCGUCUGGUCGGACACCGAGCCUCUGUAAAGCUCCUUCGACGAGUCGAGUAGUUUGGGAAUGCUGCUCAAAAUGGGAGGUAUAUGUCUUCUAAAGCUAAAUAUUGGCCAGAGACCGAUAGCGCACAAGUAGAGUGAUCGAAAGAUGAAAAGCACUUUGAAAAGAGGGUUAAAAAGUACGUGAAAUUGUUGAAAGGGAAGCGCCCAUGACCAGACUUGGGCCCGGUGAAUCACCCAGCGUUCUCGCUGGUGCACUUUGCCGGGCACAGGCCAGCAUCAGUUUGGCGCGGGGGAAAAAGGCUCUGGGAAUGUGGCUCCCCCGGGAGUGUUAUAGCCCACCGCGUAAUACCCUGCGCCGGACUGAGGUACGCGCACCGCAAGGAUGCUGGCGUAAUGGUCAUCAGCGACCCGUCUUGAAACACGGACCAAGGAGUCGUCUUCGUAUGCGAGUGUUCGGGUGCCAAACCCCUACGCGUAAUGAAAGUGAACGCAGGUGAGAGCUUCGGCGCAUCAUCGACCGAUCCUGAUGUUCUCGGAUGGAUUUGAGUAAGAGCAUACGGGGCCGGACCCGAAAGAAGGUGAACUAUGCCUGUAUAGGGUGAAGCCAGAGGAAACUCUGGUGGAGGCUCGCAGCGGUUCUGACGUGCGAAUCGAUCGUCAAAUAUGGGCAUGGGGGCGAAAGACUAAUCGAACCUUCUAGUAGCUGGUUCCGCGA